AAGGCGCUUGAGAGAACUCGGGUGAAGGAACUAGGCAAAAUGGUGCCGUAACUUCGGGAGAAGGCACGCUGACACGUAGGUGAAGUGAUUUACUCAUGGAGCUGAAGUCAGUCGAAGAUACCAGCUGGCUGCAACUGUUUAUUAAAAACACAGCACUGUGCAAACACGAAAGUGGACGUAUACGGUGUGACGCCUGCCCGGUGCCGGAAGGUUAAUUGAUGGGGUCAGCGCAAGCGAAGCUCCUGAUCGAAGCCCCGGUAAACGGCGGCCGUAACUAUAACGGUCCUAAGGUAGCGAAAUUCCUUGUCGGGUAAGUUCCGACCUGCACGAAUGGCGUAAUGAUGGCCAGGCUGUCUCCACCCGAGACUCAGUGAAAUUGAACUCGCUGUGAAGAUGCAGUGUACCCGCGGCAAGACGGAAAGACCCCGUGAACCUUUACUAUAGCUUGACACUGAACAUUGAGCCUUGAUGUGUAGGAUAGGUGGGAGGCUUUGAAGUGUGGACGCCAGUCUGCAUGGAGCCGACCUUGAAAUACCACCCUUUAAUGUUUGAUGUUCUAACGUGGACCCGUAAUCCGGGUUGCGGACAGUGUCUGGUGGGUAGUUUGACUGGGGCGGUCUCCUCCUAAAGAGUAACGGAGGAGCACGAAGGUUGGCUAAUCCUGGUCGGACAUCAGGAGGUUAGUGCAAUGGCAUAAGCCAGCUUGACUGCGAGCGUGACGGCGCGAGCAGGUGCGAAAGCAGGUCAUAGUGAUCCGGUGGUUCUGAAUGGAAGGGCCAUCGCUCAACGGAUAAAAGGUACUCCGGGGAUAACAGGCUGAUACCGCCCAAGAGUUCAUAUCGACGGCGGUGUUUGGCACCUCGAUGUCGGCUCAUCACAUCCUGGGGCUGAAGUAGGUCCCAAGGGUAUGGCUGUUCGCCAUUUAAAGUGGUACGCGAGCUGGGUUUAGAACGUCGUGAGACAGUUCGGUCCCUAUCUGCCGUGGGCGCUGGAGAACUGAGGGGGGCUGCUCCUAGUACGAGAGGACCGGAGUGGACGCAUCACUGGUGUUCGGGUUGUCAUGCCAAUGGCACUGCCCGGUAGCUAAAUGCGGAAGAGAUAAGUGCUGAAAGCAUCUAAGCACGAAACUUGCCCCGAGAUGAGUUCUCCCUGAGACUUAGAGUCUCCUGAAGGAACGUUGAAGACGACGACGUUGAUAGGCCGGGUGUGUAAGCGCAGCGAUGCGUUGAGCUAACCGGUACUAAUGAACCGUGAGGCUUAACCUUACAACGCCGAAG
Molecule: ribosomal RNA, 1277 nt
Filed under: Salmonella enterica subsp. enterica serovar Kentucky
Lineage: Bacteria; Pseudomonadati; Pseudomonadota; Gammaproteobacteria; Enterobacterales; Enterobacteriaceae
Description: partial 23S ribosomal RNA
Rfam family: Bacterial large subunit ribosomal RNA
Source: RNAcentral